This 468-nucleotide ribosomal RNA is filed under the name uncultured bacterium. RNAcentral's name for it is "partial 16S ribosomal RNA". It matches the Rfam family "Bacterial small subunit ribosomal RNA", at positions 28 to 507 of the family's 1533-position model. The record is from RNAcentral.
GACGAACGCUGGCGGCGUGCUUAACACAUGCAAGUCGAACGGAAAGGCCCUGCUUUUGUGGGGUGCUCGAGUGGCGAACGGGUGAGUAACACGUGAGUAACCUGCCCUUGACUUUGGGAUAACUUCAGGAAACGGGGGCUAAUAUCGGAUAGGAGCUCCUGCUCCAUGGUGGGGGUUGGAAAGUUUCGGCGGUUGGGGAUGGACUGGCGGCUUAUCAGCUUGUUGGUGGGGUAGUGGCUUACCAAGGCUUUGACGGGUAGCCGGCCUGAGAGGGUGACCGGCCACAUUGGGACUGAGAUACGGCCCAGACUCCUACGGGAGACAGCAGUGGGGAAUAUUGCACAAUGGGCGGAAGCCUGAUGCAGCAACGCCGCGUGCGGGAUGACGGCCUUCGGGUUGUAAACCGCUUUCGCCUGUGACGAAGCGUGAGUGACGGUAAUGGGUAAAGAAGCACCGGCUAACUACGUG